This 1251-nucleotide ribosomal RNA is filed under the name metagenome. RNAcentral describes it as "bacterial LSU rRNA". It matches the Rfam family "Bacterial large subunit ribosomal RNA", at positions 1564 to 2825 of the family's 2925-position model. The record is from RNAcentral.
UGAGUACGAGAUGCUACGGCAUCAAAGCAGUCUAUGUCAUACUUCCAAGAAAAGCUUGCACUGUCAUAAACAAAGAAUGCCUGUACCAUAACCGACACAGGUGGGUAAGUAGAGUAUACUAAGGGGCGCGAGAUAACUCUCUCUAAGGAACUCGGCAAAAUGACUCCGUAACUUCGGGAGAAGGAGUGCCUUAUUUCUAAGGUUGCAAUAACAAGAUCCAAGCAACUGUUUACCAAAAACACAGGUCUCCGCUAAGUCGUAAGACGAUGUAUGGGGGCUGACGCCUGCCCAGUGCCAGAAGGUUAAAGAAGUUGGUUAGCAUUAGCGAAGCUGAUAACUGAAGCCCUGGUGAGCGGCGGCCGUAACAAUAACGGUCCUAAGGUAGCGAAAUUCCUUGUCGGGUAAGUUCCGACCCGCACGAAAGGCGUAAUGAUUUGGAUACUGUCUCGGAGAGGGGCUCGGUGAAAUAGACUUGUCUGUGAAGAUGCGGACUACCUGCACCUGGACAGAAAGACCCUAUGAAGCUUUACUGUAACUUGAGAUUGAAAUUGGACUUUAUUUGCGCAGUAUAGGUGGGAGGCGUUGAGAAUAAUCUUGCGGGAUUGUUGGAGCCAUCAGUGAGAUACCACUCUUGUAAUGUUAGAUUUCUAACUUUGUAUCAUUAUCUGGUCAAAGAACAGUUUCAGGCGGGCAGUUUGACUGGGGCGGUCGCCUCCCAAAGGGUAACGGAGGCGCACAAAGGUUUCCUCUGAACGGGUAGAAAUCGUAUCUAGAGUGUAAAGGCAUAAGGAAGCUUGACUGUGAGACCUACAAGUCGAGCAGGGACGAAAGUCGGUCUUAGUGAUCUGACGGUGCUGAGUGGAAAGGCCGUCACUCAACGGAUAAAAGUUACUCUAGGAUAACAGGCUGAUCUCCCCCAAGAGUUCACAUCGACGGGGAGGUUUGGCACCUCGAUGUCGGCUCAUCGCAUCCUGGGGCGGUAGUCCGUCCCAAGGGUUGGGCUGUUCGCCCGUGAAAGCGGUACGCGAGCUGGGUUCAGAACGUCGUGAGACAGUUCGGUCCAUAUCCGGUGUAGGCGUUAGAAUAUUGAGAGGAGCCUUCUCUAGUACGAGAGGACCGAGAAGGACAUACCUCUGGUGUACCAGUUAUCGUGCCAACGGUAAACGCUGGGUAGCUAUGUAUGGAGUGGAUAACCGCUGAAAGCAUCUAAGUGGGAAGCCCACCCCAAGAUAAGUAUUCUCACCAAAAAAG